Molecule: ribosomal RNA, 253 nt
Filed under: uncultured bacterium
Lineage: Bacteria
Description: partial 16S ribosomal RNA
Rfam family: Bacterial small subunit ribosomal RNA
Source: RNAcentral
AACGUAGGACGCGAGCGUUAUCCGGAGUUACUGGGCGUAAAGGGCGGGCAGGCGGCCUGGCAAGAUGGGUGUGAAAUCUCCUGGCUCAACCAGGAGGGGCCACUCGUGACUGCGAGGCUGGAGGGCGACAGAGGAGCGUGGAAUUCCGGGUGGAGUGGUGAAAUGCGUAGAGAUCCGGAGGAACACCAGAGGCGAAGGCGGCGCUCUGGGUCGCACCUGACGCUGAACCGCGAAAGCCAGGGUAGCGAACGGG